AACGAACGCUGGCGGCAUGCCUAACACAUGCAAGUCGAACGAGACCUUCGGGUCUAGUGGCGCACGGGUGCGUAACGCGUGGGAACCUGCCCUUAGGUUCGGAAUAACUCCCCGAAAGGGGUGCUAAUACCGGAUAAGUUCUUCGGACCAAAGAUUUAUCGCCUUUGGAUGGGCCCGCGUUGGAUUAGCUAGUUGGUAGGGUAAAAGCCGACCAAGGCGACGAUACAUAGCUGGUUUGAGAGGAUGAUCAGCCACACUGGGACUGAGACACGGCCCAGACUCCUACGGGAGGCAGCAGUGGGGAAUAUUGGACAAUGGGCGAAAGCCUGAUCCAGCAAUGCCGCGUGAGUGAUGAAGGCCUUAGGGUUGUAAAGCUCUUUUACCCGGGAUGAUAAUGACAGUACCGGGAGAAUAAGCUCCGGCUAACUCCGUG
RNAcentral lists this ribosomal RNA (433 nucleotides) under uncultured bacterium. Its description in RNAcentral is "partial 16S ribosomal RNA". It matches the Rfam family "Bacterial small subunit ribosomal RNA", at positions 29 to 507 of the family's 1533-position model. The record is from RNAcentral.